RNAcentral lists this ribosomal RNA (465 nucleotides) under uncultured bacterium. RNAcentral describes it as "partial 16S ribosomal RNA". It matches the Rfam family "Bacterial small subunit ribosomal RNA", at positions 28 to 507 of the family's 1533-position model. The record is from RNAcentral.
GACGAACGCUGGCGGCGUGCUUAACACAUGCAAGUCGAACGGAAAGGCCCCUUUGGGGGUCCUCGAGUGGCGCACGGGUGAGUAACACGUGAGUAACCUGCCCUUGACUUCGGGAUAACUUCAGGAAACUGGGGCUAAUACCGGAUAGGAAUCCUUGCUGCAUGGUGGGGGUUGGAAAGCUUCGGCGGUUUUGGAUGGACUCGCGGCUUAUCAGCUUGUUGGUGGGGUAGUGGCUUACCAAGGCUUUGACGGGUAGCCGGCCUGAGAGGGCGACCGGCCACAUUGGGACUGAGAUACGGCCCAGACUCCUACGGGAGGCAGCAGUGGGGAAUAUUGCACAAUGGGCGGAAGCCUGAUGCAGCAACGCCGCGGGCGGGAUGACGGCCUUCGGGUUGUAAACCGCUUUCAGCAGGGGCGAAGCUUGUGGUGACGGUACCUGCAGAAGAAGCACCGGCUAACUACGUG